CCAGUAAACGGCGGCCGUAACUAUAACGGUCCUAAGGUAGCGAAAUUCCUUGUCAGGUAAGUUCUGACCCGCACGAAAGGCGUAACGAUUUGGGCGCUGUCUCAGCUGUAGACUCGGUGAAGUCUUAGUACCUGUGAAGAUGCAGGUUACCCGCGACUAGACGGAAAGACCCCAUGGAGCUUCACUGCAGGUUGAUAUUGGGAUUUGAUGCAGCAUGUACAGGAUAGGUAGGAGGCAAAGAGAUGGAUACGCCAGUAUUCAAGGAGCCGCUGUUGGGAUACUACCCCUGUUGUAUUGGAUUUCUAACCGGACGACGUAGAGCCGUUGACGGGACAGUGUCAGUCGGGCAGUUUGACUGGGGCGGUCGCCUCCCAAAGAGUAACGGAGGCGCCCAAAGAUACCCUCAGCUUGGAUGGAAACCAAGCGCAGAGUGCAAAGGCAAAAGGGUGUUUGACUGCGAGACCCACAAGUCGAGCAGGGACGAAAGUCGGGCUUAGUGAUCCGGCGGUGCUGAAUGGAAAGGCCGUCGCUCAACGGAUAAAAGCUACCCUGGGGAUAACAGGCUGAUCUCCCCCAAGAGUUCACAUCGACGGGGAGGUUUGGCACCUCGAUGUCGGCUCAUCGCAUCCUGGAGCUGAAGUCGGUUCCAAGGGUUGGGCUGUUCGCCCAUUAAAGCGGUACGCGAGCUGGGUUCAGAACGUCGUGAGACAGUUCGGUCCCUAUCUGUCGUGGGCGCAGGAAAUUUGAGAAGAGCUGUCCUCAGUACGAGAGGACCGGGAUGGACGCAUCAAUGGUGGACCAGUUGUCACGCCAGUGGCAUAGCUGGGUAGCUAAAUGCGGAAGGGAUAAACGCUGAAGGCAUCUAAGUGUGAAACCCACUUCAAGAUGAGAUUUCCCAUUGCGCAAGCAAGUAAGACCCCUUAAAGACGAUAAGGUAGAUAGGUCAGGAGUGUAAGCAUGGUGACAUGUUAAGCGGACUGAUACUAAUAGGUCGAGGGCUUGACCGA
RNAcentral lists this ribosomal RNA (1007 nucleotides) under human gut metagenome. Its description in RNAcentral is "bacterial LSU rRNA". It matches the Rfam family "Bacterial large subunit ribosomal RNA", at positions 1920 to 2925 of the family's 2925-position model. The record is from RNAcentral.